This 460-nucleotide ribosomal RNA is filed under the name uncultured bacterium. Its description in RNAcentral is "partial 16S ribosomal RNA". It matches the Rfam family "Bacterial small subunit ribosomal RNA", at positions 338 to 795 of the family's 1533-position model. The record is from RNAcentral.
CCUACGGGCGGCAGCAGUGAGGAAUAUUGGUCAAUGGACGAGAGUCUGUACCAGCCAAGUAGCGUGAAGGAUGACUGCCCUAUGGGUUGUAAACUUCUUUUAUAUGGGAAUAAAAUGUUCCACGUGUGGGAUUUUGUAUGUACCAUAUGAAUAAGGAUCGGCUAACUCCGUGCCAGCAGCCGCGGUAAUACGGAGGAUCCGAGCGUUAUCCGGAUUUAUUGGGUUUAAAGGGAGCGUAGGUGGAUUGUUAAGUCAGUUGUGAAAGUUUGCGGCUCAACCGUAAAAUUGCAGUUGAAAAUGGCAGUCUUGAGUACAGUAGAGGUGGGCGGAAUUCGUGGUGUAGCGGUGAAAUGCUUAGAUAUCACGAAGAACUCCGAUUGCGAAGGCAGCUCACUGGACUGCAACUGACACUGAGGCUCGAAAGUGUGGGUAUCAAACAGGAUUAGAUACCCGAGUAGUC